UCACUCUGGGUGAUAACUCCGCUUGCUCUGCUCAUCCUCGGAAGUACCACCGAACUCUGCAACUCUUCCCCUCGCGGGCUCUAACUAUUCUUUCUCCAAGUACUACAGUACUCAUCUAGGUAUCUUCCCUAGAUUACUCCACUACUCAAAUCCCCUAAAGGAUUCCAAUCAAAUAUUCUCACUCAUCACAUACUCAAAAGCACAACGCAUAUCACAGCAAUUCCUAGGCUAAGGCAUCACAAAUCAGGCCACUCUACUCCUAAUAUAUGGAAUACCUAGCCUGUCUCUAGCAUGCAAUAAUAUCUCAUAAAGUGCAUCAUAAAUAUCUCAUAACACAAAAGUAAGGGUAUUUUGGGAAAUCACCGUUCGGGCUCUGGCUGAUUGUACACACUGUUCUUUCUCGUUUUCUCUUUGAACUCUUAUUCGCUUUAGAAAAUUAUUUCUUUGAAAACUUUUCUUACUUCCUCAGUUUGAGUCCAGAAUUACCCGAAGGCGCAUCCGAAUCCCUCAAACCAAGGCUCUGAUACCAACUUGUAACACCGUAAAUUUCAAGACAAAAUUUUCAUUUUAAAUAAUCAUUUUAUUCUUAGAACACUUGUUAAAAAUCUCAUUCAUAAUCAAAUUACAAAACAUAGCUCCAUUUUCACUUGCAUAGAAAACCAGGAUCCUCCAAAACAUGACUCUUUCUCUGGUGUGUACAAUCAAGCCGGUGCCGUCCCGUGAUACUGAAGGAAACCUAAAAAACAUAACACAAAACACUGUAAGCACGAAGCUUAGUGACUUCCCCAAAAUACCACACACAUAACACAUAUUAGCCACUCGAGGCUAUAACUCUAUGGGUCCGUGCACCCAAACUCUGUGAACCUUCCGGUUCUAACUCUGUGAACCUUCCGGUUCUAACUCUAGGAACCCUCCGGUUCCAACUCUGUAAACAUGCACAGCAUAAAUCACAUAGAAAUAAUGCAGUACAACACAUAACAUACAUAGCAUACAAAUACUCUGUCACAUAACUCUGGUUACCUACUCAAGGUAAAGUAUAGUGAGAAGACUCACCUGGCAAGCAGAAAGCAGAUAUCUCCACACUUGAAUCUCGAACUCGCCACCGCCUAACACGUAAGGCAAAUACUCUCAUGAAUAUAACUCUCGAGACUAGAAUCAACCCUCUCAUGGCACCCUCUUAAGGGUAAAAGACUAUUUUACCCCUCUCUUGGCCCAAAGGCCACAUCGCUGACCAAACCCUAAAAGUCAACGGUCAACUCUUGGUCAAGGUCAAGGUCAAAGUCAACCCCUGAUUGACCCUACUCGCCGAGUCAGCCCUAUGACUCGCCGAGUUUCCAUACUCAGAACUUCACUCAAUCUGCGACUCAACUCGCUGAGUCACCCCGAGACUCGCCGAGUCCCACAACUCUGAGUCCACUCGCACACAACUCACCGAGUCAUCCCUUGACUCACCGAUUCUCGACUCAACCAGAAAAUAUUGGGACUCUUCGACAAGACUCGCCGAGUCCAAGAACAGACUCGCCGAGUCUAAGGCUAUCUUCAACCUACUCGCCGAGUUGUUCAUACAACUCGCCGAGUUCCAGGCCAUCUUCAUCCAACUCGCCGAGUUGUUCUUCCAACUCGUCGAGUUCCAGCUCAUCUUCAAGCAACUCGUCGAGUCCACCCAUGUGACUCGCCGAGUACCACCGGUCUGAAUCCAUACAGAAGCACUCCAGGCCAUGCAAUUGAUCCAAAACAUAGAUCUAGCCUCCUACAACCCAUCCAUCACGUAAAGUGGCAAACUUUACGUGAAUCCAAAGAGAUCUAGGCCUUAUUCACUUUAUAGCUAGGGUUUGGGACAUGAUGGCUUCACUAAGCACCCUAACACAGGAACUUUGAUGCACUCUGGGCCUUCAAUAUUCUAGAUCUGAGGUAGCAACCUCAGAUCUAACCUCCAAACUCUAAAACAUACCAAGAUAUACUCCCCACAAACCCCAAAAUGAUGAAUCCAUAUGAUUGAUAGCCCAAGAACGAGAUAUUACCUCCAAAAGAAUGCCCCAACUGCAAUGAAACUCGAAUCCAAGCAAAGCCCUUUGAUCCAAGCCUCUUCUCCUUCAAGAUUUCUUCAACAAACACCUCCCUAAGCUCCAAUACACUCCAAUCUUCUUCAAUCAUGCUUUCUAGGGUUUCUGGACUUCAAGGGGAAUCAAAGAGGCUGGGGAGAGGAUAUAAUGUUCUUUAAAUAGGGCUCAUUCCCCAAAUUUAGGGUUUUCUCCACUCAGAAACUACUCGCCGAGUCCAUCUUUGGACUCACCGAGUAGGCCACUUAACAGGCGACCCAGUCACGACUCUACUCGCCGAGUCCAUCCAUGGACUCGCCGAGUCACUCUUUCACAACUUACUCUUGAUAUUUCAGGAUGUUACGAUUCUCCACCACUUAAAUUAGGCUUCGUCCAUGAAGCCUACAACAACUCAACUCCAGAAAUACUCCCACAACGUGCCACCUGGCCUUAAUCGGACCAGGUCUCACAAGACAUACCCAUCGAAACUCGAACACACUUUCCCUUCCUUCACGGUGUCCUGACCACUGUCUCGAACCGGGCACCGACUGUACCCCCUGAUCAUCACUCUCAAUAACCGAGAAUUACCCAAGAUGCAUCACUGCCCCAAAUCUCAAUAAUCACUUGACCCAUAAGGGUUAGAAAACCAUGAACCAUUGGAUCCCCGAUCCGAAUCCCACUCUAUCCAUUCCGGGACGACUGAGAGACCCAUUCUCAAUCUCAGAGCAACUCUCACAAGUUCUCCUCUUGCAAUCACAUACACAUGCUGAACUAGCUCCAACACCCCCAGGUUGGAAAACCCGAUACACUGAUGAUAUCCUCAAACAUCCCCCAGGAUGAACCACUGAUACAUACCCAAUACCCUGAUCAGAAUCACACUGAGAGUCCAGGAUUCUCUCCCUGUAUCCCUUUCGAGCCUCCUGGCUCUAUACCCGCGGAAUCCCUUCCGCGUCCUCAGCAGACAUCCCAUCAUGAUGUCAUUCCAUACCACUUUCACAGACACAGUGUUCAACCCCCAUACUCCAAAUCAUCCACUCUCACUACUACCUUCACUUCCGUGAACCAACACUUCCCCCCCAGGGUCACAUACCUUUCUCUUCCCUUACCCAGGGAAAUCCACUUGACAACCUUGCCACUACUCCAUGUAUCGCAUAUGCUCUGGAUCUGCUCGCAAGGGCUCUCGGGUCCAUGCGCUACCUCUCCUCAGUAAAUGAGGGUCCGACACCUCCUCCCAUACAACAGUUCAAAGGGUGGCAUACCAAUGCACUAAUGAUGGCUGUUGAUAUAGGAUAACUCAACCAAGGAUAAAUACGUGCCGCCACUCCCUCCGAAUCUAAUACACAUGCCCGAAGCAUGUCUUCGAGCGUCUGAAUCGUUCGCUCUCUCUGAAGUGUCCUCAGACAUCAUCAUGAUAAGCUCUAGCUCAUUUCCCAUAUCCCUCUUCGAGCCUGAGCACCAGGUCAGCUUUUGACUCCACAGCUGAGCCCCCAAAGGUCACCCAUAUCAUGAUCCAGAUAUCCCACUAACUUCCUCCCCGUGACCACUAUCCCAGCCCAGGGACAUGCAAGUCAUGAAAUCCUCUUUUCCUCAUGCGAGAAAAAUACAACCCAACCGAGGAUCGUCUCAACUCCGAUCUCUGGUUUCUGCUGCGCAUAUUCCUUGCGCAUCUCACCACAUUUCCCGACAGAGACGGAGACCCCAGUCUCUCCCCCGGUUCAACAUUCAGGCUCCAAAAACUCAAUACUAGGGCUACUCAAGCCCAAAACUCUUCCACAUCAUACACUGAUCGGAGAACAUUCCAUCAUCACACUCUCUUGCCAUCUAGUGAGUACUACGGCUCCCCGCAGUAUCACAACACCCUCUGACUAGUGAGUACUACGGCUCCCCGCAGUAUCACAACACCCUCUGACUAGUGAGUACUUAGGCUCCCCGCAGUAUCACAACACCCUCUGACUAGUGAGUACUACGGCUCCCCGCAGUAUCACAACACCCUCUGACUAGUGAGUACUACGGCUCCCCGCAGUAUCACAACACCCUCUGACCCCACUAGCUCGUGCUCCGCAGACUAUCAUAGGCGGCUACCCAUACUCGACUCGAAUAUUCAUCACAGACUCUGGAGGCAAUCGACAUAACAAAUGCCCACCCUUGCGAAGAUCCAUUCUCUCAAAUAAUCUCCCUGGAUGCCCAUACUCGAAGGGUUCCCACUAGAUCCCUAGAUACCUGAUAUACC
This 4269-nucleotide long non-coding RNA is filed under the name Lactuca sativa (garden lettuce). RNAcentral's name for it is "long non-coding RNA (LSAT_LNC008771)". The record is from RNAcentral. Lineage: Eukaryota; Viridiplantae; Streptophyta; Magnoliopsida; Asterales; Asteraceae.